CAAUCGGCUCUUUCCAGAGCCAACAAAUGUGUUUUAAAGAGUUAAU
Molecule: non-coding RNA, 46 nt
Organism: Aedes aegypti (yellow fever mosquito)
Lineage: Eukaryota; Metazoa; Arthropoda; Insecta; Diptera; Culicidae
Source: Rfam